GACGAACGCUGGCGGCGUGCUUAACACAUGCAAGUCGAACGGCAAGGCCCUGCUUGCUGGGUAUUCGAGUGGCGAAGGGGCGAGUAACACGUGGGUGCACUGCACUGCACUUCGGGAUAGGCCUGGGAAACUGGGUCUAAUACCGGAUAGGAGCCAUUACCUGUGUGAUGGUUGGAGAGUUUUUUCGGUGUAGGAUGAGCUCGCGGCCUAUAAGCUUGUUGGUGGGGUAAUGGCCUACCAACGCGGCGACGGGUAGCUGGCCUGAGAGGGUGGACGGCUACAUUGGGACUGAGAGACGGCCCAGACUCCGACGGGUGGCAGCAGGGGGGAAUAUUGCACAAGGGGCGCAAGCCGGAUGCAGCGACGCCGCGUGGGGGAUGACGGCCUUCUGGUUGUAAACUCCUUUCGCUAGAGACGAAGCUUUUUGUGACGGUACCUAGAUAAGAAGCACCGGCUAACUACGUG
RNAcentral lists this ribosomal RNA (465 nucleotides) under uncultured bacterium. RNAcentral describes it as "partial 16S ribosomal RNA". It matches the Rfam family "Bacterial small subunit ribosomal RNA", at positions 28 to 507 of the family's 1533-position model. The record is from RNAcentral.